UACGUAGGUGGCAAGCGUUGUCCGGAAUUAUUGGGCGUAAAGGGCGCGUAGGCGGUCCGAUAAGUCGGCUGUGAAAGUCCAGGGCUCAACCCUGGAAAGCCGGCCGAUACUGUCGGACUAGAGUCCGGAAGAGGCAAGUGGAAUUCCAGGUGUAGCGGUGAAAUGCGUAGAUAUCUGGAGGAACACCGGUGGCGAAGGCGGCAUCCUGGACCGGUAUUGACGCUGAUGCGCGAAAGCCAGGGGAGCAAACGGG
Molecule: ribosomal RNA, 253 nt
Filed under: uncultured bacterium
Lineage: Bacteria
Description: partial 16S ribosomal RNA
Rfam family: Bacterial small subunit ribosomal RNA
Source: RNAcentral